GUUGCUUUUAUGUUUUAUGUAAAGCACUUUGAAUUGCCUUGUUGUUGAAAUGUGCUAUACAAAUAAACUUGCCUUUCCUUGCCUAAUGUUCCCCUCUCCUUGCACUGCCAGCAGGGACAUCUGGACACCAGUGAUGUGAAGACCCAAUGGAAAGCUGAACCUGAUAUUUGGCUCUGUGUAUUUCUGUCUCUUUGUGAUGUGGACACACAUCUGUGUGUCUCUGCCCAGCCUAUUCAUAGAACGACCACUUUAGCAGUCUUGAGGGGCCUCCCAUAGGAAUCCACCUUGAUGUAAAGACUGACACAUGGUUGCAGGAUUUAGUGUGUUUCGCUCUGUUGCCCGAGUUGACAUGACAACAUUUGUGUGUUGUAAAUGCUGCAAGUUAAAUACAUAAGACAUUGCAAACAUCCGAAGUUCCCACUUGUCCUGAACAGAGCACAGUUGAUGUACUGGACAUUGGUAGGGCUAGAUGUCCAAUCCCCGCCUUCCCGCCGGCCGCAGCCAGUACUUGCACACUUCCAGCCUGUCCACUGGCAAGGCCAACAAUUCAUGCUGCCAUAAAGAUGCCCACCUCUGCCAAGUGGGAAGGUUGGUUUAGAAGAAAGCCCCCGGCCCUCAGGGGGCUCAUGCGUUGUGUCAACAUGGUCUCUCAGAUCAGCCAGCUGCCCAGCCUCAGGCCGAAACCCACCAAACACCAUGCCUCUGGUGCAGAGCAGCGCAGAUAGGUGGGAUAAUACCCACAGCUUUCCUUUGCCAACUGUACUGAAGAAACAACAUGGAGAUGAGUGUCUCCGUGCCAGCUUCCUGCCAUCAGAUUAACACAGUCUGGCAUGAACUGAUAGACUGACUGGAUCCACAGACUGUGAACAGCAGCCGGGCACAGCUGUGGGCUUUUGACCACCUCAAAGCAUAAGACUAAAAUAAAAAGACAGCACAAAUCAGUACAGAUGCAUUCAGUAACUGGCUGAUGGAAAGGAGGGGCAUAAUGCCUUUCUUUACAUACAGUUAAUGGCCAAGUGUGGACAUACAGCCACAUUAAAGAUCAACAAAGUUUAAAGGGGCACUCCAACUGUUUGCAAUGCAUUUUGUGGCUCUGGAAGGAGCUUUUUAAACUCUGACAAACUCUGACAAAACAACCCUGAUGAUGUCAUAGUGAUGUAAGCAGGGUUGUCUUGACUUGGAGACUAAGAAUUUCUAACAGAAAUCUUGUGUUACGAACUUGUAGCAUGGAGUUUGAAAGACUGCGUUUACCAGGCAGGGAGAAAGACACCAUUGAGUUGCAUCAAGUCAGGAUAUCGUGGCCUCUUGCCACAUUCUCUCGUGACCAUUCUUUUUUCAAUCUGUCUGUUGCAAGUACCCAAACUUUAUGAAACUAUAAUACUAAAUUGCUGGAGUAUUCCUCUAAGUACAUGAUACAGAACAUAACUCAUUUCAUCGUUGGUCCCUGGUCUGCCUGCACCUGCUGCACUGCCACCGUGGAACCAAUAUGGAAGCGUAUCUGCCCAUAGUUAGUGACCUUUGACCCCUGGUGGUCAGCAGACGGAGGGGUGCCUCAUUAGAUUACUUCAGCGACACCUGCUGCUGGGCCAGGAAAGGGGUCACACCCUCCUGUCUCCCUCCACCGCUGGAAAUAGACCCUGUUGCUACAGAAGUUACAUAAGUCCCUGCUUUGUUGAGUGGCUGAUUAAUGAGCACAGAAGGUAAGAGACGUGUAAUAUCUAUUUCAGUGUGUCUGUGUGUGGAUGUUGUUGCAUGUAUGACUUUACAUUCUUGGAAGGAAGUGAAUGUACCACCUUUUCCUACACUAUUGCUUGCAGUCUAUUUUGGUGAGUCUUUCUCUUUGGUGGACUAUGGUACAUAACUACAUCCACAUUCCAAUAAAAUAAUUAUGUAAUGCCUAAAAAAUAAAUGUAACAGUUUAAUGUAGAUCUCAUUUGGUUUGCCUGCCUGUGUUCGCAGCACUAUGUUGGCCUCUGUCCUGGAAAGGAAGGUAAGAAUUUGGAGGCAGAUCUGCAGGUCAUUGAAACACACAGAGAGACAGGGAGAAGUUGGUGUUGGUGGGUUAAUAAAGUGCUGAGGUGGUGAGGAGUCAGCUGUCAUUCAAAGAUCCCCACUGCGUUACCGCUCCAGUUCUGCCUGUCAGCAGCUCUACACCUACUGUGCUCCAUGGCCUCUGGAAGAAAUCAAUACCUUCUUGUGUGCUUUGAUUUUAGUAUAGAUAUAAGGACUUUCUAAAAAAGGUGAAAAUUCAAUGUGAAAUAUGCUAUUGGAUGAUAGAAUGUACAUUACAUAGGCAGGUAAUGGCUAGAGCGUGACAAAGCAAAAGAGUAAAUAAAGCUAAAAAGAACUGCACAUUAAAUUCAGAUCUGAGUUACAUUACUGAAACAACCUGACAGAAACCCAAAGAAAGAGAAGUCCCAAAUAAGAAAUAAGAAAAUUAUUUUAUACUUUAAUGUUAUCUCUGGCAGACAUUAGCUGUAUUAAAUACACACAUUGCUUUCCAGUUUUUUCAGAGUGGAUGAAGUUUUGAGUUCACAUUUAAGCACGUAACCAACUUUAUUCCGGUCGAGUGUCAAAUCUUAAUCUGACUGUCCUGUUAAUACCAUGGCAAAUAGAAUUUGAAACAAUUAUUAUUUACAUAAGAUACAAAAAUAUAUUUCACAAAAAAGGCAAUAAGGAGCUCUAUAAAAUUACAAAUAUAUUUCUAUUAUAAAAAGCUAUUUUUAAAUACUCUUCCAGCUCAAGUUGGGGUGAGGGAGUGUAACCUGGUCUGUGUGGUGGGGUGAUUUGUGAUUCUGACAAUAAAUGUUCCAGUGACUCUUUGCAGCAUAUAUUCCACAUCUUCAUUCCUCACAACGUUUCAUGGAGUCCAUUGCCUCGUGGCUGCUGAGUAUUCUU
This is a long non-coding RNA of Siniperca chuatsi (mandarin fish), 2898 nucleotides long. RefSeq lists it as uncharacterized. NCBI's taxonomy places the organism in Eukaryota, Metazoa, Chordata, Actinopteri, Centrarchiformes, Sinipercidae. The transcript is spliced from 2 exons. The record is from RefSeq and is a predicted model, not a curated record.